Non-coding RNA from Cinara cedri, 251 nucleotides. The record is from the annotation of a GenBank genome assembly. Lineage: Eukaryota; Metazoa; Arthropoda; Insecta; Hemiptera; Aphididae.
UAAAGGGUAAGUACCUAUCCCACGUAUACACUACCCGUUGAAAUAACACUCACGAUAUAAUGUUAUAUAGAACCGUGUAAACACAAUACACGGAUACAUUAUAAUAAUAUUAUUUCGUUUUUUCACCCACAUCGUUUUUAUUCGUGUCCUCGUAGUCGUCUUCAGAGGUGUUGUACAAAGAAAAUUAAUCUCACUAAUAUUAUUAUCAUACCUACCGAUUUGGAGUGCCGUGUGAGAGCGAUGGAAAUCCG